UUACGGGAGGCAGCAGUAGGGAAUAUUCCACAAUGGACGAAAGUCUGAUGGAGCGACGCCGCGUGAGGGAUGAAGGUCUUCGGAUUGUAAACCUCUUUCGACAGGGACUAAGUGCACUACGGUGAAUAAUCGUAGUGUUUGACGGUACCUAGGGAAGAAGCUACGGCUAACUCUGUGCCAGCAGCCGCGGUAAUACAGAGGUAGCGAGCGUUGUCCGGAUUUACUGGGCGUAAAGGGCUUGUAGGUUGCCUUUUAAGUCAGAUGUGAAAUCGUCCCGCCUAACGGGACAAUUGCAUUCGAUACUGAUUGGCUUGAGUGCAGAAAGGGAAACUGGAAUUUCCGGUGUAGCGGUGAAAUGCGUAGAUAUCGGAAAGAACACCAGUGGCGAAGGCGGGUUUCUGGUCUGCAACUGACACUGAGGAGCGAAAGCCAGGGGAGCAAACGGGAUUAGAUACCCCGGUAGUCCU
Molecule: ribosomal RNA, 467 nt
Filed under: uncultured bacterium
Lineage: Bacteria
Description: bacterial SSU rRNA
Rfam family: Bacterial small subunit ribosomal RNA
Source: RNAcentral